GAGUUUGAUCCUGGCUCAGGACGAACGCUGGCGGCGUGCUUAACACAUGCAAGUCGAACGAUGAUGCCCAGCUUGCUGGGUGGAUUAGUGGCGAACGGGUGAGUAACACGUGAGUAACCUGCCCCUGACUCUGGGAUAAGCGUUGGAAACGACGUCUAAUACUGGAUAUGACCGCCGAUCGCAUGGUCUGGUGGUGGAAAGAUUUUUUGGUUGGGGAUGGACUCGCGGCCUAUCAGCUUGUUGGUGAGGUAAUGGCUCACCAAGGCGACGACGGGUAGCCGGCCUGAGAGGGUGACCGGCCACACUGGGACUGAGACACGGCCCAGACUCCUACGGGAGGCAGCAGUGGGGAAUAUUGCACAAUGGGCGAAAGCCUGAUGCAGCAACGCCGCGUGAGGGAUGACGGCCCUCGGGUUGUAAACCUCUUUUAGUAGGGAAGAAGCGAAAGUGACGGUACCUGCAGAAAAAGCACCGGCUAACUACGUGCCAGCAGCCGCGGUAAUACGUAGGGUGCAAGCGUUGUCCGGAAUUAUUGGGCGUAAAGAGCUCGUAGGCGGUUUGUCGCGUUUGCUGUGAAAUCCCGAGGCUCAACCUCGGGCUUGCAGUGGGUACGGGCAGACUAGAGUGCGGUAGGGGAGAUUGGAAUUCCUGGUGUAGCGGUGGAAUGCGCAGAUAUCAGGAGGAACACCGAUGGCGAAGGCAGAUCUUUGGGCCGUAACUGACGCUGAGGAGCGAAAGCGUGGGGAGCGAACAGGAUUAGAUACCCUGGUAGUC
This 774-nucleotide ribosomal RNA is filed under the name uncultured bacterium. Its description in RNAcentral is "bacterial SSU rRNA". It matches the Rfam family "Bacterial small subunit ribosomal RNA", at positions 9 to 795 of the family's 1533-position model. The record is from RNAcentral.